Molecule: transfer RNA, 83 nt
Filed under: Candidatus Altimarinota bacterium
Lineage: Bacteria; Candidatus Altimarinota
Also listed under: 1 other name
Description: tRNA-Tyr
Rfam family: tRNA
About the family: Transfer RNA (tRNA) molecules are approximately 80 nucleotides in length.
Source: RNAcentral
GGGGAGAUGGCAGAGCGGUCAAUUGCAUCAGACUGUAAAUCUGACGCCUCACGGCUACGUUGGUUCAAAUCCAACUCUCCCCA